This 378-nucleotide unclassified non-coding RNA is filed under the name uncultured fungus. RNAcentral's name for it is "sequence contains ITS1". The stretch from base 1 to 105 matches the Rfam family "5.8S ribosomal RNA", at positions 50 to 154 of the family's 154-position model. The record is from RNAcentral. Lineage: Eukaryota; Fungi.
GAAAUGCGAUACGUAGUGUGAAUUGCAGAAUUCCGUGAAUCAUCGAAUCUUUGAACGCAUAUUGCGCUCGAGACCUCGGUCAAGAGCAUGUCUGGCUCAGCGUCGGCUCACCCCCUCGCCACCCACUCCCCCGUUUCGAUGGGAGAGCCGGGAGGGCGGAUCUGGCCGUCUCUGUGCUCCUCGAGAGCGCAGGGUCGGCUGAAGAACAGAGGCUUGAGCAUGGUCCCGCUGAAAGGGCGCCAGCUUGGUAGGGUAGCUCACGCUCCAUGCCGCUGUCGCCCCUAGGUACCUGUGCUGCAAAGCCGGCAGGAAUCGGUGGUCAAACACCGAACUCUUACUUUCGACCUGAGCUCAGGCAAGACUACCCGCUGAACUUAA